Molecule: long non-coding RNA, 670 nt
Organism: Hyla sarda
Lineage: Eukaryota; Metazoa; Chordata; Amphibia; Anura; Hylidae
Exons: 4
Source: RefSeq, a predicted model, not a curated record
CUGGAUUGGGCGUUCUGGAGAGGUGGUCAGCAUUCCCCAUAAGAACAUGAAUUCGGUAUCUGGUCGGGGGCCUGGACCUUCAUGGUCAAGUUGAAGGUUUCAGAGGAUGAGAAUGCGCUGACAUAGUGAGGAGACGUCUGGGCGUCACAUUCUGCAGACAGAAGUUUUAGCUGGACCCGGCGAACUUGCCGCUGUAGAAUAACGGAGAGAAAGUGAUUUCCAUAAUUAACUAAUGAGUCCGAGACGACAUCUGGUCCCUGCAUAAUAAAUGGGUCCGGGAACAUUGUAUCCUGAGCGCGGAGAAUGGCGACCGCAGCCGCUCAGCGCUGUGAAUAGAGAAGCGUCUGACUGAUCCACCGGCCGCGGCCAAAACCCGCCGACGCUAAUUGCCUUUCAAAUGCCCUCAUUAAUCAAAGCGCGAAGAAUCAGUGACAGGAGGCCUGUCAUCGUCUCCCGACUCCUCGCCACUCACCUCGCAGCGUGGGGCCCAACCCUGCCCUUUUAAAUGGAAGUGCGCUGCCUGCUCACCGCCGCGCGCACCUGGGCUUAUCUCCGAAAGGUCUGCACAGGCGCCGCGGCCCAAUCCGUCUCCGGAGGCCAAUUUACUUGUUGUUUAAUGAUUCCUAACUUUCAUGUUUGUAAAUGAGCGCGCCGCACGAUAAUACCGAUA